Molecule: ribosomal RNA, 893 nt
Filed under: uncultured crenarchaeote
Lineage: Archaea; Thermoproteati; Thermoproteota
Description: bacterial SSU rRNA
Rfam family: Archaeal small subunit ribosomal RNA
Source: RNAcentral
UACUGCUGUCGGGAUGGGAAUAAGCCAUGCGAGUUGUGCGCCUCUUAGCCACGGUUGAGGCGCAGCAUACGGCUCAGUAACACGUGGCUAACCUACCCUCGGGACGGGGACAACCCCGGGAAACUAGGGCUAUCCCCGGUGGGUGAGGAGUCCUGGAACGGUUCCUCAUUGAAAGGAUGCCAGAACCAUGCUUUCUGAUAUCGCCCUAGGAUGGGGCCGCGUCUGAUCAGGUUGUUGGUGAGGUAACGGCCCACCAAGCCUAUAACCAGUACGGGCUGUGAGAGCGGAAGCCCGGAGAUGGGCACUGAGACAAGGGCCCAGGCCCUACGGGGCGCAGCAGGUGCGAAAACUCCACAAUGCACGAAAGUGUGAUGGGGCCAUCCCGAGUGCCGUCCGCUGAGGACUGCUUUUCCACGCUGUAAGGAGGCGUGGGAAUAAGGAGAGGGCAAGCCUGGUGUCAGCCGCCGCGGUAAUACCAGCUCUCCGAGUGGUGGGGAUGUUUAUUGGGCCUAAAGCAUCCGUAGCUGGCCAAGCAAGUCCCUUGUUAAACCCACCGAAUUAAUCGUUGGCGUGCGGGGGAUACUGCUCGGCUAGGGGACGAGAGAGGCAGACGGUAUUCUCGGGGUAGGGGUGAAAUCCUAUAAUCCCGAGAAGACCACCAGUGGCGAAGGCUGUCUGCUAGAACGCGCCCGACGGUGAGGGAUGAAAGCUGGGGUAGCGAACCGGAUUAGACACCCGGGUAGUCCCAGCUGUAAACGAUGCGGGCUAGGUGUUGGGGCAGCUACGUGCUGCUCCAGUGCCGCAGAGAAGUCGUUAAGCCUGCCGCUUGGGAAGUACGGCCGCAAGGCUGAAACUUAAAGGAAUUGGCGGGGGAGCACCACAAGGGGUGAAGC